This is a long non-coding RNA of Acinonyx jubatus (cheetah), 6982 nucleotides long. RefSeq lists it as uncharacterized. Lineage: Eukaryota; Metazoa; Chordata; Mammalia; Carnivora; Felidae. The transcript is spliced from 4 exons. The record is from RefSeq and is a predicted model, not a curated record.
CAUUACUUUCAUGAUCUGUCUGAGUCUUACCCAGCAGUAGAAACCUGAAUUUUUAAAAAUCCACAUCAACAAAAAAAAUGAGCCGAAAAGCCAAAAACCACACGGAGGGUAUUAGUUUCCUUUGUAGUUAAGAAAUGUUCCCCUUUCUCAGGAUACGCGACAAGAAACUGGGAAGCUUCUGAAGCACCAUAGAAACUAGCUAGAAGGAAUGCUUGUUUUAGGCUGCAGUGGACAAAUGGGCGCUUGUUGCUAGAGAGAUGCUGAUAAAUAUUUAAUAUAUCUGAAUGGUGUCCAGAAAUACUGUCAUACCUGUGUUGGGUUCUCUCAGGAAAAAGAAGAAUGGCCGAUCUGCUUUAAAAAAAGGAAUCCGAGACCUUUUCAGUAACAACAGAGCUGCAGGAGGGAAAGAAUAGGAGACUAUUACAUUUUUUAUUCAUUUGAGGGAAGUCACUAUUAAAAUUGGAGCCGAAGUCAGUUAUAUCCCUUGAUUUCUGAAGAAAUCAGAACAUCCUAAUGUAUUUGUGUAGUGUUAUGAUGGGGUACAAAUGGGAAAAUUAAAGAGAAAAGAUGCCACUUAGCAACCCUGUGUCCCAUUUUCAAAAUGUUCCAUGGAAUGAAUUCCUUACUGAAGGUAAUUUUCAGAAUGACUUCAUCCCUUGUUUAUGGGGAUGAUGGUACAAAUCCUUUUCAAACUGGAUUUCUCUUCUCUCGCCAUUUUUCAAACUCUGUGUGUUAACCUUCCUUUUUAAAAAAUGCUAUACCACAUAUACCACAUCUGGACUUGGGGUUUUGAGUGGGAAAGUUUAGAAAUGUGGAGAUUGAACUGGAUAAACCUAACAAAGGCAUAGAAGGGCAAGAGGUGUGACUUGAGCACUGCUGACCCCUUGAUGAACAUACCGGUGGCUGUAGACGCCUUGCUGCCUUCCUCGGAAACCUCAAUCUUGGCUUUGUGGAUCGCUUCAGAAACAUAAAAGCCAUCUUGGCCUAAUCCCAAGAAAUAAAAAUGUGAAUUGCUUAUUUCCAUUUUUAAUGCAUUUGGCUUAAGGAUUUGAGUGUACUUUUAAAGAACGCACUUAAUGACAGUCUCAUGCUGCUUACUAUAGCUAGGGAGAGAUUUGUUUGGAAAAUUCUGAAGCUGCGAUUUUUUAUGUAACUUUCAAAACCUCUGAUUUGGUGAGUUUGAUAAAUAACCCCUCCCAAAUUAAUAUUUAGAGCUGGGCCCUGUUUUUUCAAUGUUAAUUUUCCCAAGUAACUUGUAGUUAAUACUGAAAUCCUCAGCCAGUAUUUUCACCAGAGGAUGUGUCAAAAUGCAGAUUCUGGAGUCCAAGAAUCCUUUUUCAGCCGGCUUCUGAGAUGGUUUCCCUUGAAUGCUUUCUUGGACUGCAUUUUCAGAGCCACUUUUAAAUGACAGUUACAGGAGAAGCAAAUGAAUGUCGUGAGAGCAUAAAACCAGCCGAGUAUAGGAUGUGCAGCAGGUUCAUCCAUCUUCUAAAUAAGGAGUGGCCCGAUAAUUGACAGUUACAUGUUGGCACAGCCAAGAUCCGUGGCCUGUCUUGCCCCAGCAUCCACACCUCUCUUAAAUUAUAUCUCUGGUGAAAAAACUGACGCCUAAAGAGAUUAAGACACUUGCCCGAGAUGACAUAAAGAGUACGUGGUGGAGCUCAACUCAAAGCAAGGCUGUUUGAGUGCAAAGCCUGUGCCCUUGGCAUCUACACUUUGCUACCUCCUGUCUCCUGAGGCAUCUCACAUAGUAGGUGCAGAAAAGAAGUUGUUGACUAAUCAACAACUAAUAGAGUGUCUCAUUUAACAUAUUUAUAUUUGAUAAGACAUAUUUUUCUGUUUGCUGCGUGCAGUGUGUGUCUUUGAUGCACAGGAGGGAAGGAAUGCAAGUUAAAGUUUUGGUUUUCCUAAUAAGUCCUGAGAGCAGGAAGAAUCAACACACCAACUUUGUAAUAUUUCUCCAAGGGCCAGGCAUUUGCAAUUUUACUGUUCAAGGAGGCUUUAAAAGGAUUGCUCACAUUAUUUUUCUUUGAAAAUAAAAAAGUUUGAAAUGGCAUUUAGACGGUCUUUUUGUAUAAACUCUCCAGAACUUGUACAAGAGUAAAAAUACUGGAAAAGACCAUUUACUAUUAAAGGUUUUCAUUGCCAUACAAGACAAUGUGCCCAAUAUUUUAAACAGAAGUAUCAGAUUUUCCCAUAAAUAUAUGUUUUGGAUCUUUAGAACGGUUUCCCAAAAAGAUACAUAUGCUUUCUCCAACUAUGCUGACAUUCUCAAAACAAUUUUGCAUUACCUCUUCUGAAAUUUUCAUAAAUGCUUAAAACACAUUCUUUUUGAAAACUCUUAAUACUGAAACACAGUGGUUAAGAGCAUGAACUUGGGAGUUCAUUGCCAGGGUUUGAAUCCCAGCUCAGCCUCUUACUAGCUGAGUGACCUGGGGUAAGUUACUUUACCUCUCUUUAGCCUCGGUUUCCUCAUUUGUGAAAUGAGCAUAAUAGUAGUGCUUAGUUCUUAGCUUUGUGAAAAUUAAGCAAAAUAAUUCUUAUAAAGUGCUUAGAACAAUGCCCAGUACAGCUCAUACACUUCAAUGCUACCAUUGUGGUUUUCGUGUUUCUCAGGAAUAUUAAGAAAAAGCUAAGGGAUAUUGGAAGCCAAAUAUGGUGAUUAUGGUAGUUGAUAAAACUGGGUAAUAUCAUUUUUAGUAACUAAAGGUAAUAGUGAGGUAUGACCCUAAAAGGCGAGAGUAAUUUUUUUUAAGUUUAUUUAUUUAUUUUGAAGAGAGACAGAGAGAGAGAGAGACUGCGCAAGUCGGGGAGGGGCAGAGAGACAGGGAGAGAGAGAAUCCCAAGCAUUAUCUGUGCUGUCAGCUCAGAGCCCGACAUGGGGCUUGAACUCAUGAACCGUGAGAUCAUGACCUGAGCCAAAAUCAAGAGUCAGACGCCCAACCAAAUGAGUCACCCAGGCACCCAAUUUUUUUCUUAUAUGGCUAUGAAGGCCAGCCCAGAAGAAAUGUUUCAAAAAUAUCUUGAGUGGAAAAAUUGCCCUUUACCAAAACCAGACAAUGAUAUCAUGAGAAAAGAAAACUAGACAAAUAUCCCUUAUGAAUAAAGAUGCAAAAUCCUCAACAAAUACUAGCAAAUUGAAUCCAGCAAUAUAUAAAUCCCAUCAUGACCAAGUGAGAUUUAUCCCAGGAAUGCAAGGUGGGUUUAACAUAUGAAAAUCAAUGUCAAACACCGUAUUAACAGAAUAAAGGACAAAGGUCACAUGAUCAUCUCAAUAAAUGCAGAAAAGCGUGUAAAAAAAGCCAACACUCUGUCAUGAAAACAAAAAUCACUCAGUAAACUUGGGAUAUAAGAGAACUUUUUCAACCUUAAAAAGGGUCUCCACAGAAAACCCACAGCUUGCAUCAUACUGAAUGGUAAUGGUAAAAGACUGAACGCUUUCCUCCUAAGAUCAGGAAUCAGACCAGGAUGUUCACCACUUUUAUUUAACAUCGUAAUGAUAGGUGUGCAGGGCAAUUAUGCCAGAAAAAGAAAUAAAAUGCGUCCAGAUUAGAAAGGAAGAAGUAAACCUAUCUCUAUUCACAGAUGACUUGGUCUUGUAUAUAGAAAAUCUUAAGGAAUAUAUACACGCAGAGGAAAAACUACUAGAACUAAUAAAUGAUUUUGCCAAGGUGACAGGAUGUGAGAUAAAGGUACAAAAAAUCAAUGGCUUUUUUUUAUAUUAGCAAUGAACAGUCUGAAAAUAAAAUCCCAUUGAUAACAGCAUCAAAAGGAAUAAAAUACUUAGGGUUUUAACAAAAGAAAUGCAAAACUUGUAUACUGAAAACUAAAAGCUAAAAAACAUAAUUGAAAGAAACUGAAGAAAACAUCAAUAAAGUGAAAAACAUCCCGUGUACAGAUUGCGACAGCUAAUAUUGUCAGAAAGCAAUAUUCCCAAACUGAUCUACAGAGUAAAUAUCAUCAUCAUCAAAAGUUCAGCUGCCUUUUUGGCCAAAACUGAUAACCUGAUCCUAAAAUUCCUAUGAAAAUGUAUGGAACCCAGAAUAGCCAAAUAAUUCUUGAAAAAAGAAGAACAAAGUUGAAGCACUAACAUAUCCUGAUUUCUAAACAUUAUAGUAAUCAAGACUGAAUAAUACUGAGUAAAUUGUAGACAUUUAUGCCUAUAGAAUAGAAUUGAAAGUCUAAAAAUAAACCCAUUCAUUUAUGGUCAAUGAAUUUCAAGAAAGGUACCAAGAAAAUUCAAUGGAAAAACAAAUAGUCGUUUCAAUAAAUGGUGCUGGGACACAGCAAUUGCCCUUCUAGGUAUUUACCCAAAGGAUACAAUAAUACAGAUUCAAAGGGGUAUAUGCCCCCUGAUGUUUAUAGCAGCAUUAUCAACAACAGCCAAACUAUGGAGAGAGCCCAAAUGUCCAUCGACUGAUGAAUGGAUAAAGAAUAUUAUGGUUUAUACCCAUAGACACACACACACACACACACACACACACACACACACACUGGAAUAUUACUCAGCCAUCAAAAAGAAUGAAAUCUUGCCAUUUGCAAUGAUGGGGAUGGAACUAGAGUGUAUUACACUAAGUGAAAUAAGUCAGUCAAAGAAAGGCAAAUACCAUAUGAUUUCACUCAUAUGUGGAAUUUAAAAAACAAAACAUGACAUUAGGGGAAGGGAAGGAAAAAUAAAAUAAGAUAAAAACAGAGAGAGAGGCAAACUAUAAGAGACUCUUAGAGAACAAAGUGAGGGUUCCUAGAGGGGAGGUGGGUGGGGGGAUGGGCUAAAUGGGGUGAUACACAAUAAGGAGAGCACUUGUUGGGAUGAACAUUGGGUAUUAUAUGUAAGUGAUGAAUCACCAAAUUCUCCUCCUGAAACCAAUACUACACUACACGUUAACUAACUUGAAUUUAAAUAAAAUCUUGGAAGAAAAAAAAUCAUGCUGGGACAACUGGAUAACCACAUGCAAAGAAUGAAAUUGGACCUCUGCCUCAUUAUACAUACAAAAAUUAAUUCAAAAUGAGUCAGAGACUUAAAUAUAAGAGCUAAGACUAUAAAAAUGCUAGAAAAACACAGACAUAGAUCUUUGUGAUCUUGGUUAAACAAUGGUUUCUUAGCUACGACAUUAAAAGAAGCAUAAGAAACAAAAGAAAAAAUAAAUUAACUGGACUUCAUUAAAAUUAAAAGCUUUUGUACUUCAAAGGACAUCCUCAAUGGUUAUAGUGGAAGAGAGCCAAAGCAUAAGAGACUCUUAAAAACUGAGAACAAACUGAGGGUUGAUGGGGGGUGGAAGGGAGGGGAGGGUGGGUGAUGGGUCUUGAGGAGGGCACCUUUUGGGAUAAGUACUGGGUGUUGUAUGGAAACCAAUUUGACAAUAAACUUCAUAUAUUGAAAAAAAAACAAAGGACACCCUCAAUAAAGUAAAAAGACGAUCCAUGAAAUGGGAGAAAAUAUUUGCAAAUUAUAUAUCUGAUAAAGGACUAAUAACCAGAAUAUAUAAAGCACCAUGACAACUCAACAAUAAAAAGACAACCUAUUUAAAAAUGGAGAAAAGAUUCAAAUAGAUAUUUCUUCAAAAGAGAUAUGUAAAUGUUCAACAAGCACAUGACAAUAUGCUUGACGUCAUGGGUCAUUAGAGAAAUGCAAAUGGAAGUCACAAUGAGAAACCACCUCACACCAACUAGGAUGGCUACAAUAAAAAAGAUGGGGGUUUUCUUCUCCUGUGGUUGUUGCUACUGUUGUGGGGUUAGAUAGGUUGCAUCCAUCUUGCCUCCAGCCUGACCAAGAAGCCAAAACACAGAGGAUGGCAUUGCUGGAGGGCAGAGGAGGCGAUGUCUUCCCAGGUAAUGUAACUAAGAAUAACUAUAUACUUCCUAAAUGUAAGCUUUAUAACAACGCUACUUUUUAACCCAAAUUUGGGAAGCCAGUCUUUGUCUUCUCCCCACCUUCUUUCCCUCCACAAUUCAAAACAAGAAUGUAGUAAAAUAUACACAACAUAACCAUUUUAAGUGCAUAAUUCAAUGGCCUUAAGAAUAUCCACAUUGCUGUCCAACCACCACUGUUAUCUUUCCACCAUUCUGGAACUCUUUCAUCACACCAAACUGAAAGUCUGUACCAUUAACCAUGAAGAGGGACUUAUGAAAAAAAAUGAACAAUAACAAGUGUUGACAAGGGUAUGGAGAAACUGGAACCUCUUGGAUUGCUGGUGGGAAUGUAAAAUGGUGCAGCCCCUUGGAAAACUGUCUGUAGGUCCUCAAAAUGUAAAGUGUAGAGUUAACACAUGACCCAGGAUUUUCAUUCCUAGGUAUAUAACCAAGAUCAUUGAAAAUAUAUAUCAUAAAAAAGUGUGCACAUGAAAAUUUUAUAGGACCCAAAAAGUGAAAACAAGCAAAAAGUUUCCAGGCUCUUAAAUGUCUAUAAACUGAUUAAUGGAUAAGUAGAAUGUAGUAUAUUCAUACAAUGGAAAAUUAUUCAGCCAUAAAAAAGAAUGAAGUAUUGAUACAUACUCUGACAAGGACGGACCUUGACGACAUCGUGCUAAGUGAGAACAGCUAGACACAGAAGGGCUACAUGUGGUAUGAUUUCAUUUAUGUGAAAGGUAGAGUAGUAUAGACAAAUCCACUGAGAGAAAGUAGAUUAGUGGUUGCCUAGGAGUAGUGAGGAGAAGGAAUGUGGAGUGACUGCUAAUGGGUAUGGAGUUUCUUUUUGAGGUGAUGAAAAUGUUCUGGAAUUUGAUAGUCGUGAUGGUUGCACAACUUUGCCAAUAUACUAAAAACCUCUGAACUGUACACUUUAAAACAAUUUUAUGGUUAUGUGAAUUGUACCUUCGUUUAAAAAAAAAAAAAAAGAAAAUACCCAUAGAAAAGCACAAUCCACACAUGACGAUGAUCAGUAGCUCUUGGAAAGGAAGCCCAAAACUUCUGCAUAUAUGAGAUCUGAUGGAUUUUUAAGAUACUUAGAAACAAACAAACAAAGAGAAAAAGAGACACGCCCAAA